This 104-nucleotide non-coding RNA is filed under the name Paenibacillus bovis. Its description in RNAcentral is "Guanine sequence". It matches the Rfam family "Purine riboswitch aptamer". Rfam says of the family: Riboswitches are metabolite binding domains within certain messenger RNAs that serve as precision sensors for their corresponding targets. Allosteric rearrangement of mRNA structure is mediated by ligand binding, and this results in modulation of gene expression. Lineage: Bacteria; Bacillati; Bacillota; Bacilli; Caryophanales; Paenibacillaceae. The record is from Rfam by way of RNAcentral.
CUCUUUGGUACGGCGACCACUCAUAUAAUAUUGGGAAUAGGGCCCAGGAGUUUCUACCGGAUAACCAUUGUAAUUGUCCGACUAUGAGUGAAGAACGUGCUGAU